GGCGUUGUGGCUCAAUGGUAGGCGCUCACCUUGCAUGUGUGAGGCCCUGGGUUCAGUCCUCAGCACCA
RNAcentral lists this transfer RNA (68 nucleotides) under Marmota monax (woodchuck). RNAcentral describes it as "tRNA.Ala". The record is from RNAcentral. Lineage: Eukaryota; Metazoa; Chordata; Mammalia; Rodentia; Sciuridae.